Molecule: long non-coding RNA, 625 nt
Organism: Seriola aureovittata
Lineage: Eukaryota; Metazoa; Chordata; Actinopteri; Carangiformes; Carangidae
Exons: 3
Source: RefSeq, a predicted model, not a curated record
AUUGCUCAGAGUGACACGACUAAACUCCUCUCAGUGCUGCACAGUGAAGGGUGCAGGUAUUGACAAUGAAGGUGGUGAAUUUGGAACAGUUUGGGAACAAAUGCACUAAGUGGGGUCCCUCAGGAAGAAAAGGUUAUAGGAUCUCUGAAAAGGCGGCCAUUGUUCAUCAUCUCCAGCAAAAUGACUUUGUAAAACUGAGAAGAAGAAAGGCAAACCACUGGACCAAUAGCAGCCCCUGAAAGUGGAGAGCACUGAUGCAUGAGUGAAAAGCGCCUUAUGUCAAAUAUAAUUGUCCUGCCCUGAAAAACAAGCUAGCGAUGUCUGAUUUGAUUCCCUCCUGUUUGGCUCAAGUUACUUCCUGUCUGCUCUAAGCAUGUUUGUCAUGACAAUGAAGUUCCUGGAGAGAUUUUGGGAUGUUCUGAUUUCUUUCUCCACCAAAGGGCUGAAUUUAAUGACCUCUCAUUUCCAGUUUUUUUUUUCUAGCUUGAAGUCAUGUUUUAUUUAAUGUCCCUGAAACUUGUUUGACUUUAAAGCAAUAGUUUGACAUCUUGGGAAAUAAACUGUAUCAAUUUGCACCUGAGAGUAGGAUCAAGUUGUUUAAUCAGUUCAAAAACCAAAGUGCAAA